GCAGCGGAGCAUGUGGCUUAAUUCGACGCAACGCGAAGAACCUUACCAGGUCUUGACAUCCCCUGACAACCCAGAGAUUGGGCGUUCCCCUUCGGGGGGACAGGGUGACAGGUGGUGCAUGGUUGUCGUCAGCUCGUGUCGUGAGAUGUUGGGUUAAGUCCCGCAACGAGCGCAACCCUCGCCUCUAGUUGCCAGCAUUCGGUUGGGCACUCUAGAGGGACUGCCGGCGACAAGUCGGAGGAAGGUGGGGAUGACGUCAAGUCCUCAUGGCCCUUAUGGGUAGGGCUUCACACGUCAUACAAUGGUCGGUACAGAGGGUUGCCAAGCCGCGAGGUGGAGCCAAUCCCUUAAAGCCGAUCGUAGUCCGGAUCGUAGUCUGCAACUCGACUACGUGAAGUCGGAAUCGCUAGUAAUCGCAGAUCAGCAUGCUGCGGUGAAUACGUUCCCGGGUCUU
This 454-nucleotide ribosomal RNA is filed under the name uncultured Thauera sp. RNAcentral describes it as "bacterial SSU rRNA". It matches the Rfam family "Bacterial small subunit ribosomal RNA", at positions 929 to 1382 of the family's 1533-position model. Lineage: Bacteria; Pseudomonadati; Pseudomonadota; Betaproteobacteria; Rhodocyclales; Zoogloeaceae. The record is from RNAcentral.